Zonotrichia leucophrys gambelii is the source of this 1164-nucleotide long non-coding RNA. RefSeq lists it as uncharacterized. The record is from RefSeq and is a predicted model, not a curated record. NCBI's taxonomy places the organism in Eukaryota, Metazoa, Chordata, Aves, Passeriformes, Passerellidae. The transcript has 4 exons.
AGUGUGUGGAUAUCAGCCCACACAACAGGAGCUUGUGUGCUGCCUUGCAGCUCUGCUUUGUGAGCACCCACAUGGUAGAGCCAAGCCUGUGGUCUCCAAACCCUUCCUCAGUUUUUAAGGUUCCCUUUUCUGCUCUGUUUUUGUUCCUCAGGUGAGAAGUUUUGCCAUGACUCCGUAUUAUUCCUAAUGGGAAUAGUAAGAACAAUUCCAUGAUUGGUCCUCUGGAAAUUUGGCUAAGUGUGGGGAUCCAAAGGGCAAUAAUUCCAAGAGUAAUUGAGCUGGAAAUAAAAAGGAUGCAUCCUUUUUAAAUGUCAUCAUACCAGCCUGUGCAGAGUGGCAGAGCAGAACCAAAGUGGACUGAGAUGUACUGAUAUGGAAUGAGGCUCUUGAGAAACAAAUGUGCUGUACCGUGAGAACAGCUGUCAGAGCCCUUCUGGCAACACUGGGUUAUUGGUUGGAUUUGAUGAUCAUGAAGAGACCAGUUUGGUCAGUCACAAUCUGCCCUUAGUGAAGCUGUCGUGGGUCACUGCUCUGUCCUGGAUGUGCCUCCGCACUGAUUCCAUGAAGAUCUGCUCCAAGAUCUUCCCUGGCACAGAGGAGGUGGUCACAGCUGAUGUUCUAAGAGCAGCUCAAAGAACAUACACCAUCUGGUAGGGAACAGGAACGACUCGCAAGGCGCUCGAGCGGGACGUGUCUGUGUGUUUGCAGUGCCAUGGAUCGUGGGGCAGGACAGCCAAGGGCAAAUCACCUGCCUUACUGCACCCCAGAGGCUGGGGCUGCUCCCAAAGGGGCUCUCACACUGCAGGCCUUUGAGUGUCAACAGUAAUGGCAGUGCACUUUGGGUGUGAACAGCAAAGUAAAUUUACCUUCUGCUGUACCUCUGUGCACUUCUCCUGGGCUAGCACUGCUCCUCUUCAAUUCUCCACCUGUCUGGAUUGUCUUUAUUUUCUUUACUCACAAGGCCACACCACCUGAGAUGCUCACAGGAAACUCGCUGUAAUGAAGAAAUGCAGAUAGUAAGUGUAAUUUAAAGCAAAUGAUAUGGCUCCAUAAAAUCUGUUCUAAAUGAUUCUUUUCCAAGUGUGAUUUACUGGGAUUAAAACUGAGUGGUUUAGACAAGGCUUAAAAAGUCUGUCAUGGAAAACUGCAUUUCUCUGAAUGUUC